UACGUAGGAGACGAGCGUUGUCCGGAGUUACUGGGCGUAAAGGGUGCGCAGGUGGCGGCGCGCGUGGGGGGUGAAAUCGCCCGGCUUAACUGGGCGGGGGCCUUCCAGACGGCGUGGCUUGAGCAGCGGAGGGGGACGUGGAAUUCCGGGUGGAGCGGUGAAAUGCGUAGAUAUUGGGAGGAACACCAGUGGCGAAGGCGGCUCACUGGACCGGUACUGACGCUGAUGCGCGAAAGCGUGGGGAGCAAACGGG
This 253-nucleotide ribosomal RNA is filed under the name uncultured bacterium. Its description in RNAcentral is "partial 16S ribosomal RNA". It matches the Rfam family "Bacterial small subunit ribosomal RNA", at positions 524 to 776 of the family's 1533-position model. The record is from RNAcentral.